This 23-nucleotide transfer RNA is filed under the name Australopyrum retrofractum. RNAcentral describes it as "partial tRNA-Phe". Lineage: Eukaryota; Viridiplantae; Streptophyta; Magnoliopsida; Poales; Poaceae. The record is from RNAcentral. RNAcentral also lists the same sequence under 10 other names.
AGAAAAGGUCAGGAUAGCUCAGU